This 429-nucleotide ribosomal RNA is filed under the name Gemmatimonadota bacterium. RNAcentral's name for it is "Gemmatimonadetes bacterium partial 16S ribosomal RNA". It matches the Rfam family "Bacterial small subunit ribosomal RNA", at positions 355 to 776 of the family's 1533-position model. Lineage: Bacteria; Pseudomonadati; Gemmatimonadota. The record is from RNAcentral.
UAGGGAAUCUUCGGCAAUGGACGAAAGUCUGACCGAGCAACGCCGCGUGAGUGAAGAAGGUUUUCGGAUCGUAAAACUCUGUUGUUAGAGAAGAACAAGGACGUUAGUAACUGAACGUCCCCUGACGGUAUCUAACCAGAAAGCCACGGCUAACUACGUGCCAGCAGCCGCGGUAAUACGUAGGUGGCAAGCGUUGUCCGGAUUUAUUGGGCGUAAAGCGAGCGCAGGCGGUUUCUUAAGUCUGAUGUGAAAGCCCCCGGCUCAACCGGGGAGGGUCAUUGGAAACUGGGAGACUUGAGUGCAGAAGAGGAGAGUGGAAUUCCAUGAGUAGCGGUGAAAUGCGUAGAUAUAUGGAGGAACACCGGUGGCGAAGGCGGCUCUCUGGUCUGUAACUGACGCUGAGGCUCGAAAGCGUGGGGAGCAAACAGG